CACAGAUACAUAUGACAAGGCUAUUUUGUUUUUCAUAGCUAACACAAUGUGGUCUCAAGGUGGCUGCCACGGCUCCAGUCAUCAGACCAGGGAAAGUCUUCUCAAGCAAGAAGUCCAAGGGAAAUGGGGAAAAUCUGUCUACAGGAAAGAGAAAUUCAGGGUUCCAUUGGAAGGAAAGAAGCCACAGAACUUGCUGCAUUGGCAGGAGCCACUGCCUGUGGCUCAUUGUGUAUUGGGGAUUUUUAAAUCAAAGAGGGGAAACCCCACGGUGAUUUAG
Molecule: long non-coding RNA, 277 nt
Filed under: Cricetulus griseus (Chinese hamster)
Lineage: Eukaryota; Metazoa; Chordata; Mammalia; Rodentia; Cricetidae
Description: lncRNA (ENSCGRG00000026604.1)
Source: RNAcentral